This is a long non-coding RNA of Ruditapes philippinarum (Manila clam), 2122 nucleotides long. RefSeq lists it as uncharacterized. The transcript has 2 exons. The record is from RefSeq and is a predicted model, not a curated record. Lineage: Eukaryota; Metazoa; Mollusca; Bivalvia; Venerida; Veneridae.
AAAGAUUUGAUAACAGGUGGGAAAAGUGUUGAUAAUUACCCUAGAAUGGUGCCACAAGAUAGGCGUUAAGACGUGUAUCGAUCUUUUGACCAUGUGCUUAAAGUUUCAUUCAAAGCGAUGAACUGUUCAUUUUUCGUACACAAGAGCAUUGUUUUUAAUGAAAGAUUGUCAUCAGUCAACGUAUAUUUUUCGGUGGCGUUUAUAUCGUAAAACAGUAGAGACACAAAACAAAAUGCUUUUGAAGGUAUAAAUCACUCUUAGAACUUAUUCAUAUUUUUCGCAGAAAUGUUUUUUGAUUACAAUGGUGUCAAUAAAUUUCGGAAGAUAAGAUUGCAAUACAGGAAAUCAUUUAAACAGGAACAGAAACGUGAAUUGCCUCAUUUUGAAAAUACACAUUUAAUAAUUUAAUCAAAAAAUCAAUGUGGAUAUUUAUAUAGCAAAGCUAUGUUUGGAAAAGGGAAAGAAAACUUUGUGACUGAAAAAUGAAUUAUGCGCAAAAGAUAAGUUCAGCAUUGCAUUAAAGAAAAACAUCAUGGACAGUAAUCAAAAAAAUGGAACAAAUGUUUAAUUUUGAUUAUGUUUUUAGACUGUUAAAGAAAAAUAAAACAUCUAAUUGUGAUUGUAAGUAGUUUUUUUAUUAUUUCAUGUUUCUCUAAUUAAAUGUGUACUUUCUCACAGCUUACACAUAACAUAUAAUGAAAGCGGGAAUAUUUUUAUCCAAUAUUUCCGUUUCUUGCUUUCAGAUAUUCCCACUUCAUAAAGCAACAGUAUAUUUAAGAUGUGUGUAUAUAUGUAUGUAUCAAUAUCAAUACAAAAAAUAAAAUUUGGGAACGAAGAAUCAAACAUAAGUUUAUAUGCGUGUUUUGUUUUCAAGUCAUAAAGUCGUUUGCCUUUCGUACAGACGGCAGGAUGAAACAAAUUGUAGAAUCAAUUGUUAUUGUUUUUAUUUAUCUUUGAGUUUAAUUUUACGUCUCAACAGCAGAGUUAGGGUCAUUUGGCGACUUUGCUAAAUUAACUGGUUGAGAAUGACCACAUGUAUCCAUCCAUGCGUAUUGGCACCCGACAUCAAGGAAUCUAAUUUGCAUAAAACACGCUUAAUUACAAAUAAAACAAAAAUAACAAAACUUGAAUUUGAUAACAGUUGUUAGUUUUAUUCUGUAAUGGGAAGUAAGAUAUGCUAAUUUGACAUCAAUAUUUGUUUUCGAAGUUUUGUUAUUCUUUUUCUUGAGACAAAAAAGGAACAUUUGAAACAGUAAAGUAAAUGAAUAAUUUUCCUUUCACCACAAACAGUUAGAUAUUUAAAUCAAUAUAACUCAAAAAGUCCAUACAUAGAGAAAAGUGACCUUCAAAUUUUAUACACAAUAUGUAACAACACUAAUGUGAUCAAAACAGCCAAUAAAAUUCUUUUAAUUGUGUCAAUUAGCAACGAGGUUCUUCAUUGGUGGAAAAUAUUAUUAAAUCAAGUAUAAAUACUUGAGCAACUUUAAAAUCGUCUGGCUGUAUUCCAAGAUGGCAACUAUAAACGAGUGGGACCAAAAAUUGAAACAAAUUCAAGUAAAUACUUCAGAAACCCAUAACAAUGUCAACUGUACAUAUAUAAUUGCUACAACUGACGAACUUAACACAGAUGGACUUAGCCGUGGUAUUUGGAUUCAUGUUGCAAAUGUGUAUGUGGAAUGUAUUAUGACAAAACCAAACUUGGCGACACACUUAAGGAAAGGCAUGUACGCCUUCACGAUUUUGGCGAUGGUGUGGAGUUCCACCUGUAUGAAAAAUGUCAAUAUUUAGACCCAAAGCGUCUUCCCUGGAAUAAUUUUAGGAUAGAGAAAUAUUGCAUUUGUCCGAGAGACCUUUACUCUUUACAGAAUUCGUGGUGCUUGAUUCAAUAAGAACUAUGAAUACAAGGUUACAGAGUGAGAAACAGAAAAGAACGAAGGGCAAUUAAGACCGACCAAUAUCAACAUGCAUGAGUGUUUCAGUUUUUGUUAGAAAUACUAGUAUAAAGACUUAUACAUCAGUAUAUAUAUUUAUCAAUUUCAUGAUGGAACAAUGCACACAGAUAUCCUUUUUAUAUUUUCAUAAAUUAUGUGAUAUUUGAUAAGCAAUAAAUAGUAAACAUAUA